ACGAACGCUGGCGGCAUGCCUAAUACAUGCAAGUCGAACGAGACCUUCGGGUCCAGUGGCGCACGGGUGCGUAACGCGUGGGAAUCUGCCCCUGGGUUCGGAAUAACAGUUAGAAAUGACUGCUAAUACCGGAUGAUGACGCCAAAGAGAUUUGGAGUCCAAAGAUUUAUCGCCCAGGGAUGAGCCCGCGUAAGAUUAGCUAGUUGGUGGGGUAAAGGCCUACCAAGGCUACGAUCUUUAGCUGGUCUGAGAGGAUGAUCAGCCACACUGGGACUGAGACACGGCCCAGACUCCUACGGGAGGCAGCAGUAGGGAAUAUUGGACAAUGGGCGAAAGCCUGAUCCAGCAAUGCCGCGUGAGUGAUGAAGGCCUUAGGGUUGUAAAGCUCUUUUACCCGAGAUGAUAAUGACAGUAUCGGGAGAAUAAGCUCCGGCUAACUCCGU
Molecule: ribosomal RNA, 443 nt
Filed under: uncultured bacterium
Lineage: Bacteria
Description: bacterial SSU rRNA
Rfam family: Bacterial small subunit ribosomal RNA
Source: RNAcentral